This 253-nucleotide ribosomal RNA is filed under the name uncultured bacterium. RNAcentral's name for it is "partial 16S ribosomal RNA". It matches the Rfam family "Bacterial small subunit ribosomal RNA", at positions 524 to 776 of the family's 1533-position model. The record is from RNAcentral.
UACGGAGAGUGCAAACGUUGUUCGGAUUCACUGGGCGUAAAGGGCACGUAGGCGGCUCGGCAAAUCGGUCGUGGAAUCCCGACGCUUACCGUCGGAACGGCGGCCGAAAAUACCGGGCUAGAGGGCGUGAGGGGUCACUGGAACUCCCGGUGAAGCGGUGAAAUGCGUAGAUAUCAGGAGGAACGCCGGAGGCGAAAGCGAGUGACUGGCGCGUUCCUGACGCUGAGGUGCGAAAGCUAGGGGAGCAAACAGG